CAGUAGCCGCGGGAAUACCGAGGGUGCGAGCGUUAAUCGGAUUUACUGGGCGUAAAGCGUGCGUAGGCGGCUUUUUAAGUCGGAUGUGAAAUCCCUGAGCUUAACUUAGGAAUUGCAUUCGAUACUGGGAAGCUAGAGUAUGGGAGAGGAUGGUAGAAUUCCAGGUGUAGCGGUGAAAUGCGUAGAGAUCUGGAGGAAUACCGAUGGCGAAGGCAGCCAUCUGGCCUAAUACUGACGCUGAGGUACGAAAGCGUGGGGAGCAAACAGGAUUAGAGACCCCUGUAGUCCCUGUCUCUUAUAC
RNAcentral lists this ribosomal RNA (301 nucleotides) under uncultured bacterium. Its description in RNAcentral is "partial 16S ribosomal RNA". It matches the Rfam family "Bacterial small subunit ribosomal RNA", at positions 509 to 807 of the family's 1533-position model. The record is from RNAcentral.